This 401-nucleotide ribosomal RNA is filed under the name uncultured fungus. RNAcentral's name for it is "SSU rRNA". It matches the Rfam family "Eukaryotic small subunit ribosomal RNA", at positions 555 to 961 of the family's 1831-position model. Lineage: Eukaryota; Fungi. The record is from RNAcentral.
GCAAGUCUGGUGCCAGCAGCCGCGGUAAUUCCAGCUCCAAUAGCGUAUAUUAAAGUUGUUGUGGUUAAAAAGCUCGUAGUUGAACCUUGGGCCUGGCUGGCCGGUCCGCCUCACCGCGUGUACUGGUCCGGCCGGGCCUUUCCCUCUGUGGAACCCCAUGCCCUUCACUGGGUGUGGCGGGGAAACAGGACUUUUACUGUGAAAAAAUUAGAGUGCUCCAGGCAGGCCUAUGCUCGAAUACAUUAGCAUGGAAUAAUAGAAUAGGACGUGUGGUUCUAUUUUGUUGGUUUCUAGGACCGCCGUAAUGAUUAAUAGGGACAGUCGGGGGCAUCAGUAUUCAAUUGUCAGAGGUGAAAUUCUUGGAUUUAUUGAAGACUAACUACUGCGAAAGCAUUUGCCAA